RNAcentral lists this ribosomal RNA (888 nucleotides) under uncultured bacterium. Its description in RNAcentral is "bacterial SSU rRNA". It matches the Rfam family "Bacterial small subunit ribosomal RNA", at positions 8 to 916 of the family's 1533-position model. The record is from RNAcentral.
AGAGUUUGAUCAUGGCUCAGGAUGAACGCUGGCGACGCGCCUAAUGCAUGUAAGUCGCACGCAGCGCUGUUAUGGCGGCUGCGUGGCGGACGGCUGAGGAACACGUGGGUGACCUGCCCCGGCGUGGGGGAUAACGGGCCGAAAGGUCCGCUAAUCCCGCAUACGCUCCGCUCCUUGCGAGGGGAGGAAAGCGCGCAAGCGCGCGCGGGGAGGGGCCUGCGGCCCAUCAGGUCGUUGGUCGGGGUAACGGCCCACCAAGCCAAUGACGGGUCCCUGGUCUGAGAGGACGACCAGGCAGACUGGGACUGAGACACGGCCCAGACUCCUACGGGAGGCAGCAGCAAGGAAUUUUGCACAAUGGGCGUAAGCCUGAUGCAGCAACGUCGCGUGGAGGAUGACGGCCUUCGGGUUGUAAACUCCUUUUGGGGGGGACGAUGAUGACGGUACCCCCUGAAUAAGCCCCGGCUAACUCCGUGCCAGCAGCCGCGGUAAUACGGAGGGGGCAAGCGUUGUCCGGACUUACUGGGCGUAAAGGGUGCGCAGGCGGCUGUGUGCGUCGGCGCUGAAAGCGCCGGGCUCAACCCGGCGAGGCGUGCCGAUACGACGCAGCUGGAGCCUCGGAGAGGGUGGCGGAACUCCUGGUGUAGUGGUGAUAUGCGUAGAGAUCAGGAAGAACACCCGUGGCGCAAGCGGCCACCUGGCCGAGAGCUGACGCUGAGGCACGAAAGCGUGGGGAGCGAACCGGAUUAGAUACCCGGGUAGUCCACGCCGUAAACGAUGUCGACUGGGGGUGCGUGGGCCGUUAUGGCCUGUGCGCGCCGAAGCAUACGCGCAAGUCGACCGCCUGGGAACUACGAGCGCAAGCUUAAAACUCAAAGGAAUUGACGG